RNAcentral lists this transfer RNA (72 nucleotides) under Streptomyces phage Starbow. RNAcentral describes it as "tRNA-Gly". It matches the Rfam family "tRNA". Rfam says of the family: Transfer RNA (tRNA) molecules are approximately 80 nucleotides in length. Their secondary structure includes four short double-helical elements and three loops (D, anti-codon, and T loops). RNAcentral also lists the same sequence under 2 other names. The record is from RNAcentral. Lineage: Duplodnaviria; Heunggongvirae; Uroviricota; Caudoviricetes; Stanwilliamsviridae.
UCCGCAGUAGUAUAAUGGUAGUACGCGACCUUGCCAAGGUUGUGGCGCGAGUUCGAUUCUCGUCUGCGGGAC